This 462-nucleotide ribosomal RNA is filed under the name uncultured bacterium. RNAcentral's name for it is "partial 16S ribosomal RNA". It matches the Rfam family "Bacterial small subunit ribosomal RNA", at positions 29 to 507 of the family's 1533-position model. The record is from RNAcentral.
AACAAACGCUGGCGGCGUGCCUAAUACAUGCAAGUCGAACGGGGAAAGUAGCAAUAUGAGUACUAGUGGCGCACGGGUGAGUAACGCGUGGAUAAUCUGCCUUGAAGAGGGGGAUAACUAGUCGAAAGAUUAGCUAAUACCGCAUAAGACCACAAGAACUGAGGUUCAAGGGGUCAAAGGUUUUUCGCUUCAAGAUGAGUCCGCGUAAGAUUAGCUAGUUGGUGAGGUAAUGGCUCACCAAGGCAACGAUCUUUAACUGGUCUGAGAGGAUGAUCAGUCACACUGGAACUGAGACACGGUCCAGACUCCUACGGGAGGCAGCAGUAGGGAAUAUUGCACAAUGGAGGAAACUCUGAUGCAGCGACGCCGCGUGAGUGAUGAAGGCCUUCGGGUCGUAAAGCUCUGUCGCAGGGGAAUAACACAAUGAAUGUACCCUGUAAGAAAGAAUCGGCUAACUUCGUG